This 21-nucleotide non-coding RNA is filed under the name Arabidopsis thaliana (thale cress). The record is from RNAcentral. Lineage: Eukaryota; Viridiplantae; Streptophyta; Magnoliopsida; Brassicales; Brassicaceae.
AACCCUACGUUAGUCCAUCUG